Molecule: transfer RNA, 88 nt
Filed under: Flavobacteriia bacterium
Lineage: Bacteria; Pseudomonadati; Bacteroidota; Flavobacteriia
Description: tRNA-Thr
Rfam family: tRNA
About the family: Transfer RNA (tRNA) molecules are approximately 80 nucleotides in length.
Source: RNAcentral
GCCUCUUUAGCAUAGUGGUAGUGCAUUCGCCUUGUAUAUUUAAAUCGCAAGCGAAAGGUCCUGGGUCCGAUUCCCAGAAGAGGCACCA